GCGUUGAUAGUCUAGUGGUUAGGAUAACUCCCUUCCAUCAACGGAAAGUUAGGAGUUGACCGGCGUUCGAAUCGCCGUCAUCGCA
This is a non-coding RNA of Kwoniella sp. DSM 27419, 85 nucleotides long. Lineage: Eukaryota; Fungi; Basidiomycota; Tremellomycetes; Tremellales; Cryptococcaceae. The record is from the annotation of a GenBank genome assembly.